Molecule: ribosomal RNA, 465 nt
Filed under: uncultured bacterium
Lineage: Bacteria
Description: partial 16S ribosomal RNA
Rfam family: Bacterial small subunit ribosomal RNA
Source: RNAcentral
GACGAACGCUGGCGGCGUGCUUAACACAUGCAAGUCGAACGGACAGGCCCUGCUUUCAGGGGACUCGCGAGGGGAACGGGUGUGUAACACGUGGGUGAUCUGCCCUGCACUCUGGGUUAAAGCGGGGGAAAUGGGUUUAAUACCGGAUAUGAGCCCGUUUUAGUGUGAUUGUUGGAAAGUGUUUUCGGUGUAGGUUGAGCUCGCGGCCUAUCAGCUUGUUGGUGGGGGAAUGGCCUACCAAGGCGGGGACGGGUUGCCGGCCUGAGAGGGUGGACGGCCACAUUGGGACUGAGAUACGGCCCAGACUCCUACGGGAGGCAGCAGUGGGGAAUAUUGCACAAUGGGCGCAAGCCUGAUGCAGCGACGCCGCGUGGGGGAUGACGGCCUUCGGGUUGUAAACUCUUUUCGCUAGGGACGAAGCUUUUUGUGACGGUACCUAGAUAAGAAGCACCGGCUAACUACGUG